GAUGAAGAACGUAGCGAAAUGCGAUAAGUAAUGUGAAUUGCAGAAUUCAGUGAAUCAUCGAAUCUUUGAACGCACAUUUCGCCCGCCAGUAUUCUGGCGGGCAUGCCUGUUCGAGCGUCAUUUCAACCCUCAGGCCCCCAGUGCCUGGUGUUGGGGAUCGGCCCAGCCUUCCUGUAAGGCCGCCGGCCCCGAAAUCUAGUGGCGGUCUCGCUGUAGUCCUCCUCUGCGUAGUAGCACAACCUCGCAGUUGGAACGCGGCGGUGGCCAUGCCGUUAAACACCCCACUUCUGAAAGUUGACCUCGGAUCAGGUAGGAAUACCCGCUGAACUUAAGCAUAUCAAUAAGCGGAGGA
RNAcentral lists this unclassified non-coding RNA (352 nucleotides) under soil metagenome. RNAcentral's name for it is "partial contains 5.8S ribosomal RNA, internal transcribed spacer 2, and large subunit ribosomal RNA". The stretch from base 1 to 120 matches the Rfam family "5.8S ribosomal RNA", at positions 35 to 154 of the family's 154-position model. The record is from RNAcentral.